UGGGGAAUUUUGGACAAUGGGGGAAACCCUGAUCCAGCCAUCCCGCGUGUGCGAUGAAGGCCUUCGGGUUGUAAAGCACUUUUGGCAGGAAAGAAACGUCGCGGGUUAAUACCCCGCGAAACUGACGGUACCUGCAGAAUAAGCACCGGCUAACUACGUGCCAGCAGCCGCGGUAAUACGUAGGGUGCAAGCGUUAAUCGGAAUUACUGGGCGUAAAGCGUGCGCAGGCGGUUCGGAAAGAAAGAUGUGAAAUCCCAGAGCUUAACUUUGGAACUGCAUUUUUAACUACCGGGCUAGAGUGUGUCAGAGGGAGGUGGAAUUCCGCGUGUAGCAGUGAAAUGCGUAGAUAUGCGGAGGAACACCGAUGGCGAAGGCAGCCUCCUGGGAUAACACUGACGCUCAUGCACGAAAGCGUGGGGAGCAAACAGGAUUAGAUACCCUGGUAGUCCACGCCCUAAACGAUGUCAACUAGCUGUUGGGGGCCUUCGGGCCUUGGUAGCGCAGCUAACGCGUGAAGUUGACCGCCUGGGGAGUACGGUCGCAAGAUUAAAACUUAAAGGAAUUGACGGGGG
Molecule: ribosomal RNA, 572 nt
Filed under: uncultured bacterium
Lineage: Bacteria
Description: partial 16S ribosomal RNA
Rfam family: Bacterial small subunit ribosomal RNA
Source: RNAcentral